This 567-nucleotide ribosomal RNA is filed under the name cyanobacterium TDX16. RNAcentral describes it as "bacterial SSU rRNA". It matches the Rfam family "Bacterial small subunit ribosomal RNA", at positions 45 to 637 of the family's 1533-position model. The record is from RNAcentral. Lineage: Bacteria; Bacillati; Cyanobacteriota.
UGCUUAACACAUGCAAGUCGAACGGUAGUAGCAAUACUACAGUGGCGCACGGGUGAGGAACACGUAGCUCAUCUGCCCUCAAGCGCGGGAUAACGGUCCGAAAGGAUUGCUAAUACCGCAUAAGCUCACGGAUUGUAGAGGUCUGCGAGAAAAGGGGAAACUCACUUGAGGAGGAGGCUGCGGCCCAUCAGGUAGUUGGUGUGGUAACGGCGCACCAAGCCAACGACGGGUAGGGGACCUGAGAGGGUGACCCCCCACACUGGGACUGAGACACGGCCCAGACUCCUACGGGAGGCAGCAGUGAGGAAUAUUGCCCAAUGGACGAAAGUCUGAGGCAGCGACGCCGCGUGGGUGAUGAAGGCCUUCGGGUCGUAAAGCCCUUUUCUGUGUGACGAGCAAGGACGGUAGCACAGGAAAAAGUCUCGGCUAACUACGUGCCAGCAGCCGCGGUAAAACGUAGGAGGCAAGCGUUAUCCGGAGUUACUGGGCGUAAAGCGUGCGUAGGCGGGUCGGUAAGUGGGUGGUGAAAGCGCCGGGCUAAACCGGGCGAGGUCCAUUCAGACUGUC